This 1424-nucleotide ribosomal RNA is filed under the name uncultured prokaryote. RNAcentral describes it as "partial 16S ribosomal RNA". It matches the Rfam family "Bacterial small subunit ribosomal RNA". The record is from RNAcentral.
UGAUCCUGGCUCAGAAUGAACGCUGGCGGCAUGCAUAACACAUGCAAGUCGAACGAGUAUGGACCUAGCUUGCUAGGAACCCAGCUAGUGGCAAACGGGUGAGUAACGCGUGGGAACCUACCUUGUAGUAUGGAAUAGUCCCGGGAAACUGGGUUUAAUACCAUAUACGCUCUUCGGAGGAAAGAUUUAUCGCUAUAAGAUGGGCCCGCGUUAGAUUAGUUUGUUGGUGAGGUAAUGGCUCACCAAGACUACGAUCUAUAGCUGGUUUGAGAGGAUGAUCAGCCACACUGGAACUGAGACACGGUCCAGACUCCUACGGGAGGCAGCAGUGGGGAAUAUUGGACAAUGGACGAAAGUCUGAUCCAGCAAUACCGCGUGAGUGAUGAAGGCCUUAGGGUUGUAAAACUCUUUCAGUAGGGAAGAUAAUGACGGUACCUGCAGAAGAAGCACCGGCUAACUCCGUGCCAGCAGCCGCGGUAAUACGGAGGGUGCAAGCGUUGUUCGGAAUUACUGGGCGUAAAGCGUGCGUAGGCGGUUUUACAAGUUGGGAGUGAAAUCCCGGGGCUCAACCUCGGAAUUGCUCUCAAAACUGUAAGACUAGAGUAUGGUAGGGGAUAGUAGAAUUCCUAGUGUAGGGGUGAAAUCCGUAGAUAUUAGGAGGAACACCAGAGGCGAAAGCGACUGUCUGGACCAUUACUGACGCUAAGGUACGAAAGCGUGGGGAGCGAACGGGAUUAGAUACCCCGGUAGUCCACGCCGUAAACGAUGGGUGCUAGAUAUUGGGGGACCUAGUCCGGUGCCGCAGCUAACGCAUUAAGCACCCCGCCUGGGGAGUACGGUCGCAAGAUUAAAACUCAAAGGAAUUGACGGGGACCCGCACAAGUGGUGGAGCAUGUGGUUUAAUUCGAUGCUACGCGAAGAACCUUACCACCUUUUGACAUCGGGAUCGCCGGGCUUGUAAUGCUUCCUUCAGUUCGGCUGGACCCCGCACAGGUGCUGCAUGGCUGUCGUCAGCUCGUGUCGUGAGAUGUUGGGUUAAGUCCCGCAACGAGCGCAACCCUCGUCUUCAGUUGCCAUCAGGUUAAGCUGGGCACUCUGAAGAAACCGCCGGUGACAAGCUGGAGGAAGGUGGGGAUGACGUCAAGUCCUCAUGGCCCUUAUGGGCUGGGCUACACACGUGCUACAAUGGCGGUGACAACGGGACGCUAAGGGGCAACCUGGAGCUAAUCCCCAAAAACCGCCUCAGUUCGGAUUGUUCUCUGCAACUCGAGAGCAUGAAGUCGGAAUCGCUAGUAAUCGUGGAUCAGCAUGCCGCGGUGAAUACGUUCCGGGCCUUGUACACACCGCCCGUCACACCAUGGGAGUUGGUUUUACCCGAAGCCGGUGCGCUAACCGCAAGGAAGCAGCCGACCACGGUAAGGUCA